AUGCCGCGUGUGUGAAGAAGGCCUUCGGGUUGUAAAGCACUUUUAUCAGGAGCGAAAACCUGUCGGUUAAUACCCGGCGGGCCUGACGGUACCUGAGGAAUAAGCACCGGCUAACUUCGUGCCAGCAGCCGCGGUAAUACGAAGGGUGCAAGCGUUAAUCGGAAUUACUGGGCGUAAAGCGUGCGUAGGCGGUUUGUUAAGUCUGCUGUGAAAUCCCCGGGCUCAACCUGGGAAUGGCAGUGGAUACUGGCAGGCUAGAGUGUGUCAGAGGGUGGUGGAAUUCCCGGUGUAGCGGUGAAAUGCGUAGAGAUCGGGAGGAACAUCAGUGGCGAAGGCGGCCACCUGGGACAACACUGACGCUGAGGCACGAAAGCGUGGGGAGCAAACAGGAUUAG
RNAcentral lists this ribosomal RNA (395 nucleotides) under uncultured bacterium. RNAcentral describes it as "bacterial SSU rRNA". It matches the Rfam family "Bacterial small subunit ribosomal RNA", at positions 394 to 781 of the family's 1533-position model. The record is from RNAcentral.